UGCGUAGGCGGUGCGGAAAGUUGGGUGUGAAAUCCCUCGGCUCAACCGAGGAACUGCGCCCAAAACUACCGCACUUGAGGGAGAUAGAGGUGAGCGGAACUUAGGGUGGAGCGGUGAAAUGCGUUGAUAUCCUAAGGAACACCGGUGGCGAAAGCGGCUCACUGGAUCUCUUCUGACGCUGAGGCACGAAAGCUAGGGUAGCGAACG
RNAcentral lists this ribosomal RNA (207 nucleotides) under uncultured bacterium. RNAcentral's name for it is "partial 16S ribosomal RNA". It matches the Rfam family "Bacterial small subunit ribosomal RNA", at positions 568 to 774 of the family's 1533-position model. The record is from RNAcentral.